CCGCAGCCUCAAGGACCGGCUCGAGUUCGCCCCGCGCGCCGUGCUGGACCGCAACCGCCCGGGGGGCGCCUAGGGCCCGGCGUCGCCCCCGCCUGCGCCGCUGCCCGGAGGGGCCGAGCCGAAUUGAACCCCCGUCCAGGAUUGAGGCUCUGAGCCUUUUGCCUGUCAUCCCCAGGCUCCCUGUAUGCAGAAAUGCAGCUGCGUCUGGAGAGGGAGGUCAUUCCCUUCUGGUGUGCACACAAUCUCUGCUCCACAGCUGGGACACGGGACGUUUUACUCCAAGGCCACUGGACCCCCAUCGCCCUUGCAGAGGGCCUGUAAUAGCCACACCGCAUGGAUCCAGCCUCACAACUCAAGGAUCUCAUUCCUUCAGCGGAAGAGACGCCGCUCAGUUUCUCUGCCUAGGAGGAUCUGCCUUGACUGCUGGCCUAGUUGGCAAAGUGCUGAGGCCUGCAUCUCCCACUCAAAUUAAAGGGCUACAGAGCCAGGCUCCCUCUCAGCAGAAGAGUCUGGGCCUUGGAGCCCAAGUGAGCAGAGGCAAGAUCAGAUGUCAACCCUCAUAUUCAGCCUUCUCUACUGGCAAGCUCCAGGCUGUGCCCCCUGCAGCAUGCUGCAGCAGGGACCUGGGGUCAGGUUUGCACAUGCAGGGGACCUGGCUCUGAAAGACCAGCACAGGCCAGACCUAUUGUGUGCAUCUCCGCUGGAUUGACCUGCACGACCAGACUCCUCUCGUGACACUGCCGAGGUGGUUUAAGAAAGCACCUAGUGAGGACUGGUGCCCUGCUGAGGCUGCAGGGUGUGGGUCCAAUCCCAUCUACCCUCCACUGGUGCCCAGGGGCUUUGCCCUGCUACAGCAGCUGGCAGCGGGGAUGCUCCAGGCCAGGCUCUGUACAACCACAGGGAGGGGUCGUUACCCCAGAGAAGGGGCAGCCUGGAGGGAUCAGAGAGGAAGGCAUGGACUCUUCUGCCAUUCCACGCUUGGGGAACGGGGGCACAGGGGGGUUCAACACCUGCCCCAGCAGCCCCCAGGGAGUCUGCUGCAGAGCUGGGACCUGACGGCUGCUCUCUGGAGUCUCAGCUCUGCACAGGAACCGUGAGACCAGCUGCCCUUUUGUGGGGAAGGCAGAAACACCAAAACCACCAAACCUGAUGUAGCCUCCCUCUGCCAAUGCCUGGUGCUCCCACAGCCUCCCCUCCAGCACUCGGAGCUAUAGGAAGACAACCGCAUCAGAAGACAGCAAUAAGGACAGCAGCAGUGACCGCAGCAGCAAGUCCUCCGGCAAAAGCAACCACGAAUGAACUGAGUUUUAAACUCCAUAUUCGGGGAUCAGACUAAACGACAGGGGGCUGGAGGAAGACGAAAUCGUGCGGAUGGGUGUGUGGCAGUGCUGUUCUGCGGGUGUGUAUAUUGUGACGGGUGCGAGGGUGUUCCUCUGGUCAGUUAAGUAGGUAAUGAAUUGUGACC
Long non-coding RNA from Alligator sinensis (Chinese alligator), 1465 nucleotides. RefSeq lists it as uncharacterized. The record is from RefSeq and is a predicted model, not a curated record. Lineage: Eukaryota; Metazoa; Chordata; Crocodylia; Alligatoridae. The transcript has 4 exons.